This 149-nucleotide microRNA precursor is filed under the name Triticum aestivum (bread wheat). RNAcentral describes it as "mir-399 microRNA precursor family". It matches the Rfam family "mir-399 microRNA precursor family". From Rfam's summary of the family: mir-399 was identified in both Arabidopsis thaliana and Oryza sativa computationally and was later experimentally verified. mir-399 is thought to target mRNAs coding for a phosphatase transporter. RNAcentral also lists the same sequence under 1 other name. The record is from Rfam by way of RNAcentral. Lineage: Eukaryota; Viridiplantae; Streptophyta; Magnoliopsida; Poales; Poaceae.
CCGUGAAUUACAGGGCAAUUCUCCUUUGGCACCGGUAACGCAAGGCAGCAUGCAUGCAUGCAUGCUCUUUCUGGUGACCAUGCUGAUUAGCCGUGCACCUAGGCCCUAGCUUAGCUUGUGCCAAAGGAGAAUUGCCCUGCGAUUUUGCG